Molecule: transfer RNA, 76 nt
Filed under: Candidatus Doriopsillibacter californiensis
Lineage: Bacteria; Pseudomonadati; Pseudomonadota; Gammaproteobacteria; Candidatus Tethybacterales; Candidatus Persebacteraceae
Description: tRNA-Arg
Rfam family: tRNA
About the family: Transfer RNA (tRNA) molecules are approximately 80 nucleotides in length. Their secondary structure includes four short double-helical elements and three loops (D, anti-codon, and T loops).
Source: RNAcentral
GCGCCUUUAGCUCAGCGGAUAGAGUGUUGGCCUCCGAAGCCAAAGGUCAGAGGUUCGAAUCCUCUAAGGCGCGCCA